RNAcentral lists this ribosomal RNA (1178 nucleotides) under Thermobifida fusca. RNAcentral's name for it is "bacterial LSU rRNA". It matches the Rfam family "Bacterial large subunit ribosomal RNA", at positions 1087 to 2255 of the family's 2925-position model. Lineage: Bacteria; Bacillati; Actinomycetota; Actinomycetes; Streptosporangiales; Nocardiopsidaceae. The record is from RNAcentral.
AGACAACCAGGAUGUUGGCUUAGAAGCAGCCAUCAUUUAAAGAGUGCGUAAUAGCUCACUGGUCGAGUGACUCUGCGCCGAAAAUGUAACGGGGCUAAACGGACCACCGAAGCCGCGGAUGCCGAAGGGCAUGGUAGGGGAGCGUUCCCGGGGCGUCGAAGUCGCACCGUGAGGUGCGGUGGAGCGCCGGGAAGUGAGAAUGCCGGUGUGAGUAACGAAAAGAGGGGUGAGAAUCCCCUCCGCCGAAAGCCUAAGGGUUCCUGAGGAAGGUUCGUCCGCUCAGGGUAAGUCGGGACCUAAGCCGAGGCCGAAAGGCGUAGGCGAUGGGGAACAGGUUGAAAUUCCUGUACCACCUCCACUCCGCUUGAGCGAAGGGGUGACGCAGGAGGGUAGGGGAUCGCGCGGCUGGAAGUGCGCGUCCAAGCGGUUAGGCGGGUGUGUAGGCAAAUCCGCACACCACAGACGCUGAGCCGUGACGGCGAGGGAAACUGAAGUACCGAAGUCCCUGAUCCCACACUGCCGAGAAAAGCCUCUAGCGAGGAGUGAGGUGCCCGUACCGCAAACCGACACAGGUAGGCGGGGAGAGAAUCCUCAGGCGCUCGGGAGAACUCUCGUUAAGGAACUCGGCAAAAUGACCCCGUAACUUCGGGAGAAGGGGUGCCCCGGUAGGGUGAGCCUUCGGGCGAGCCCGAGGGGGCCGCAGUGAAGAGGCCCAAGCGACUGUUUAACAAAAACACAGGUCUCUGCGAAGCCGUAAGGCGAAGUAUAGGGGCUGACGCCUGCCCGGUGCUGGAAGGUUAAGGGGACGAGUUAGCCUUCGGGCGAAGCUCCGAACCGAAGCCCCAGUAAACGGCGGCCGUAACUAUAACGGUCCUAAGGUAGCGAAAUUCCUUGUCGGGUAAGUUCCGACCCGCACGAAAGGCGUAACGACUUGGGCGCUGUCUCAACGAGAGACCCGGUGAAAUCGUACUCCCUGUGAAGAUGCAGGGUACCCGCGACAAGACGGAAAGACCCCGUGGAGCUUUACUGCAGCCUGAUAUUGAAUCCGGGUACGGUCUGUACAGGAUAGGUGGGAGCCGGAGAAGCCGGGCCGCCAGGUUCGGUGGAGGCGUCGGUGGGAUACCACCCUGAUCGUGCCGGGGUUCUAACCCGCGGCCGUGAUCCGGUCGGGGGACCGU